Molecule: long non-coding RNA, 265 nt
Organism: Penaeus monodon (black tiger shrimp)
Lineage: Eukaryota; Metazoa; Arthropoda; Malacostraca; Decapoda; Penaeidae
Exons: 2
Source: RefSeq, a predicted model, not a curated record
GAGCGAGCGACACUGCGCAUGGAAGACGGCUGCGAGGGACCUUCGGCUCGAGCUCGUGGACAAACGCACAGUAUCGCGCCCCCGGUCUCUGUGGACACGCGCUCCUUCUGCUUCCUCCCUCGCGGUAUUUACAAUUCCUUGCUUUUCUUAAAUUCCUCAAACAUAACAAGCUGGAACAUAAAAGCUAAACUCUCCGAAACGAAGAACUUAAAAUGAAAAAAAAUUAAAUGACUUUGGUUAACAGUUAAAAAACAACAACAAAAAA